Molecule: transfer RNA, 73 nt
Filed under: Guillardia theta
Lineage: Eukaryota; Cryptophyceae; Pyrenomonadales; Geminigeraceae
Description: tRNA-Met
Rfam family: tRNA
About the family: Transfer RNA (tRNA) molecules are approximately 80 nucleotides in length. Their secondary structure includes four short double-helical elements and three loops (D, anti-codon, and T loops).
Source: RNAcentral
AGCUACAUGGCGCAGUGGUUAGCGUGCUGGGCCCAUAACCCAGAGGUCUAAGGUUCGAAUCCUUGUGUAGCUA